UAAAAAGCCAGACCUGCCCAGUGCUUGUAAAAGUAAACGGCCGCGGUAACCUGACCGUGCAAAGGUAGCAUAGUCAAUUGCCUAAUAAUUAUAGGCUAGAAUGAACGGUUCGACGAAAAACUCCCUGUCUCCCAGACUGUAAUCUAAAACUAACCUUGGGGUGAAAAGGCCCCAAUUAAACCGAAGGACAAAAAGACCCUAUCGAGCUUAAGCUUACCCAUAAUCCAUCAAUAAAACAUUAUACCCAAGCUUUUGUUGGGGCAACAACAGGGAAAACAAAACCCCCUGUAACAAUAAACUCUAUAAAGCAUAAAACCAGCCCUAUUGAAUAUAAAAAAGCUACCGUAGGGAUAACAGCGUAAUUCCUUAAUAGAGACCUUAUCGAAUAAGGAGAUUGCGACCUCGAUGUUGGACUAGGGGCUCUCUUUUACGCAGAAGUUAAAGUAAGUUGGUCUGUUCG
RNAcentral lists this ribosomal RNA (460 nucleotides) under Terebratulina unguicula. RNAcentral describes it as "partial 16S ribosomal RNA". It matches the Rfam family "Bacterial large subunit ribosomal RNA", at positions 1846 to 2583 of the family's 2925-position model. Lineage: Eukaryota; Metazoa; Brachiopoda; Rhynchonellata; Terebratulida; Cancellothyrididae. The record is from RNAcentral.